This 132-nucleotide ribosomal RNA is filed under the name uncultured Catonella sp. RNAcentral's name for it is "partial 16S ribosomal RNA". It matches the Rfam family "Bacterial small subunit ribosomal RNA", at positions 374 to 527 of the family's 1533-position model. Lineage: Bacteria; Bacillati; Bacillota; Clostridia; Lachnospirales; Lachnospiraceae. The record is from RNAcentral.
GGGACCUGAUGCAGCGACGCCGCGUGAGUGAAGAAGUAUUUCGGUAUGUAAAGCUCUAUCAGCAGGGAAGAUGAUGACGGUACCUGACUAAGAAGCCCCGGCUAACUACGUGCCAGCAGCCGCGGUAAUACA